Molecule: long non-coding RNA, 314 nt
Organism: Magnolia sinica
Lineage: Eukaryota; Viridiplantae; Streptophyta; Magnoliopsida; Magnoliales; Magnoliaceae
Exons: 2
Source: RefSeq, a predicted model, not a curated record
CCUCUUAGAAGAUAAAGAAUGUGAUAUUGGGGAUGUGGGCAAUCUUGUAGCGAUCUUCUCCUCCUUCUCGGCAGCGUUCUUCUAAGACUGGACAUUGGUAGAUAUUCAGUUUUUGAAGCAUGGUGAGGUGUUGCAACUCCUCUGGUAGAGACCUUAAAUUAAAACAAUACUUGAUCUCCAGAGUUUGGAGGGCUUUGAGUUGUCCCAACCAACCACAUGGGAACGAUGUCAGCUCUGGACGGUUCCAAAUCGCCAAAUGGUUAAGGUUGGGGAGGACGGGUAAGGGCACACCGGAUGACAUUCCAACAUCACUU